This is a long non-coding RNA of Dermochelys coriacea (leatherback sea turtle), 280 nucleotides long. RefSeq lists it as uncharacterized. The record is from RefSeq and is a predicted model, not a curated record. The transcript is spliced from 3 exons. Lineage: Eukaryota; Metazoa; Chordata; Testudines; Dermochelyidae.
UUAACACCAUUAAUUUGGGCUUUAAUAGGGACUGAGAGUGGCUGGCUCACUACAAAAGCAGCUUUGCCUCUCCUGGAAUUGACACCUCCUCAUCAGUUAUUGGGAGUGAACUACAUCCACCCUGAUUGUAUUGGCCCUGUCAACAGUGAUUCUCCACUUGUGGGGUAACUCCCUUCUCUUCAUGUGUCAAUAUAAUAAUGCCUGCAUCUGUAAUUUUCACUCCAUGCAUCUGAAAAAGAGGGGUCUGUAGCUCACGAAAGCUUAUGCUCAAAUAAAUUUG